RNAcentral lists this small RNA (132 nucleotides) under Salmonella enterica. RNAcentral describes it as "RtT sRNA". It matches the Rfam family "RtT RNA". Rfam says of the family: This family represents a bacterial cis-regulatory element known as RtT RNA. The exact function of RtT is unknown although it is thought that it may be involved in changing the cellular response in relation to amino acid starvation. Lineage: Bacteria; Pseudomonadati; Pseudomonadota; Gammaproteobacteria; Enterobacterales; Enterobacteriaceae. The record is from RNAcentral. RNAcentral also lists the same sequence under 6 other names.
AUCCUACCCAUGUGGGGAAGGAUGAGAAGCUUCGACUAAGGUUCGGUUCGAGCGAAAGCGAGAAAGCGUUACCGCAGGCAACGACCCGAAGGGCGAAGUGCGCAGCGCUGAGUCAUCCUUUCCCCACCACCA